Molecule: ribosomal RNA, 500 nt
Filed under: uncultured bacterium
Lineage: Bacteria
Description: partial 16S ribosomal RNA
Rfam family: Bacterial small subunit ribosomal RNA
Source: RNAcentral
AUUGAACGCUGGCGGCAUGCCUUACACAUGCAAGUCGAACGGCAGCACGGGAGCAAUCCUGGUGGCGAGUGGCGAACGGGUGAGCAAAGUAUCGGAACGUGCCCAGUCGUGGGGGAUAACGUAGCGAAAGUUACGCUAAUACCGCAUACGAUCUAUGGAUGAAAGCGGGGGAUCGCAAGACCUCGCGCGAUUGGAGCGGCCGAUAUCAGAUUAGGCAGUUGGUGGGGUAAAGGCUCACCAAGCCGACGAUCUGUAGCUGGUCUGAGAGGACGACCAGCCACACUGGGACUGCAGCACGGCCCAGACUCCUACGGGAGGCAGCAGUGGGGAAUUUUGGACAAUGGGCGAAAGCCUGAUCCAGCCAUGCCGCGUGCAGGAUGAAGGCCUUCGGGUUGUAAACUGCUUUUGUACGGAACGAAAAGGUUUGGGCUAAUAAGCUGAGCUCAUGACGGUACCGUAAGAAUAAGCACCGGCUAACUACGUGCCAGCCGCCGCAGUAA